Molecule: long non-coding RNA, 833 nt
Filed under: Citrus x clementina
Lineage: Eukaryota; Viridiplantae; Streptophyta; Magnoliopsida; Sapindales; Rutaceae
Description: Citrus clementina (C. clementina) long non-coding RNA (CCLE_LNC006488)
Source: RNAcentral
AUAUUUAUUUAUUUUUUAGAUAUGAAUAUAGAACGGAAAAUAUAAAUUUAUGAUAAAUUUAGAGUAGAUAUAGAUCUUAAUAUUUAUUAUGGAUCUGAAUCUAAAACAGAGUAAUUCCAAUUCAUAUAUACUCCAUUGUCAUCCCUAAUUGCGCUUUUGUUAAUGGGAAUUUAAUAUUUAUUUUUUUCGUCGUCACAUUGAAUGGUGAGGAUAUAUAUGUGAAGAAGCUAGCUAGCUAGCUAGCUAAGCCUAACUACGUGUUGUCCAGACAAUGCUUGAAAAGGCUGAUUAUUCAUCAUUUUGGAUGAAGAAUCUUCUCCACAUCUUUGACGAUGAGAAUGACUCGGAUGAUAAGGCUAGAAAUGGCCCCGCUGAUUUGUGAAUGAAACACACUUACAAGUGUCAACGACUCACAUAAGGGCAGAAAAAUCUGUUCAUUAAUUAUAUAUUGCCUAGCUAAAUUUUAGCUUGGUGAUGAACAGGGCCCAGACAUAUGAUCCACCCUGAAUAGGGCCCAGACAUAUGAUCCACCCAUAUAUAUAAAAAACAAAAUUGGUUCAGAUUUCUUUGCUCAUAUCAUUUCAUCAUACUGUGUGCAGUCACGUAUUCGAAAUAGUAUUUUCGGGGAUAUCUAACUUGUACUCAUUCGCCAGUGGUUGAGCUGAUGCCCUACUUAUGAGGGCAGCGGUUUAAAUUUGUGGGGGUUAAAAUAUUCGUAAGUUUUUUUCUCUUGUAAAAUGUGAGUGGAGUAGAGAUAUCUCUUGUAUGUGAAUGUUAUUUGUCUGAGCAUAUACUUAAUAAAAUUUAAUGUAAUAAUAUAAGUCUCAGUUAUA